AGCGACUGUGCAGGUUACCGCGGCUGCUGGCACGGAGUUAGCCGGUGCUUCUUCUGUGAGUGAUGUCCUUCCUGCCGGCUAUUAACCCGCAGGCCUUCUUCCUCACUGAAAGUGCUUUACAACCCGAAGGCCUUCUUCACACACGCGGCAUGGCUGGAUCAGGGUUGCCCCCAUUGUCCAAUAUUCCCCACUGCUGCCUCCCGUAGGAGUCUGGGCCGUGUCUCAGUCCCAGUGUGGCUGAUCAUCCUCUCAGACCAGCUACGGAUCGUCGCCUUGGUGAGCCGUUACCUCACCAACCAGCUAAUCCGACAUAGGCUCAUCCGAUAGCGCGAGGCCCGAAGGUCCCCCGCUUUCCCCCGGUAGGGCGUAUGCGGUAUUAGCCUGGGUUUCCCCAGGUUAUCCCCCACUACCGGGCAGAUUCCUAUGCAUUACUCACCCGUCCGCCGCUCGCCACCAGGGAGCAAGCUCCCCGUGCUGCCGCUCGACUUGCAUGUGUUAGGCCUGCCGCCAGCGUUCAAU
This 519-nucleotide ribosomal RNA is filed under the name uncultured bacterium. RNAcentral describes it as "partial 16S ribosomal RNA". The record is from RNAcentral.